RNAcentral lists this ribosomal RNA (490 nucleotides) under uncultured bacterium. RNAcentral's name for it is "partial 16S ribosomal RNA". It matches the Rfam family "Bacterial small subunit ribosomal RNA", at positions 30 to 507 of the family's 1533-position model. The record is from RNAcentral.
AUUGAACGCUGGCGGCAGGCCUAACACAUGCAAGUCGAACGGUAACAGGAAACAGCUUGCUGUUUCGCUGACGAGUGGCGGACGGGUGAGUAAUGUCUGGGAAACUUCCUGAUGGAGGGGGAUAACUACUGGAAACGGUAGCUAAUACCGCAUAACGUCGCAAGACCAAAGAGGGGGACCUUCGUGCCUCUUGCCAUCGGAUGUGCCCAGAUGGGAUUAGCUAGUAGGUGGGGUAACGGCUCACCUAGGCGACGAUCCCUAGCUGGUCUGAGAGGAUGACCAGCCACACUGGAACUGAGACACGGUCCAGACUCCUACGGGAGGCAGCAGUGGGGAAUAUUGCACAAUGGGCGCAAGCCUGAUGCAGCCAUGCCGCGUGUAUGAAGAAGGCCUUCGGGUUGUAAAGUACUUUCAGCGGGGAGGAAGGGAGUAAAGUUAAUACCUUUACUCAUUGACGUUACCCGCAGAAGAAGCACCGGCUAACUCCGUG